GUAAAAUGGCUGAUAAAGGCGAUAAAUUGUAAAUUUAUUUAUGAAUAAAAAUCUUUUGCU
Molecule: transfer RNA, 60 nt
Filed under: Ornithodoros phacochoerus
Lineage: Eukaryota; Metazoa; Arthropoda; Arachnida; Ixodida; Argasidae
Description: Ornithodoros sp. 3 BJM-2014 tRNA-Tyr
Source: RNAcentral